ACAAGGCUGUCGCUUCACACUUGGAGGGUU
This 30-nucleotide non-coding RNA is filed under the name Homo sapiens (human). Lineage: Eukaryota; Metazoa; Chordata; Mammalia; Primates; Hominidae. The record is from RNAcentral.